RNAcentral lists this ribosomal RNA (292 nucleotides) under uncultured bacterium. Its description in RNAcentral is "partial 16S ribosomal RNA". It matches the Rfam family "Bacterial small subunit ribosomal RNA", at positions 505 to 796 of the family's 1533-position model. The record is from RNAcentral.
GUGCCAGCAGCCGCGGUAAGACGAGGGGUGCGAGCGUUAUUCGGAAUUAUUGGGCGUAAAGGGUGCGUAGACGGCAUACUAAGUCCGUUGUUAAAUCUCCCGGCUUAACCGGGAAUCAGCGAUGGAUACUGAUAUGCUAGAGGGUGGAAGAGAGAAGUGGAAUUCUCGGAGUAGCGGUAAAAUGCGUAGAUCUCGAGAGGAACACCAAUGGCGAAGGCAGCUUCUUAGUCCAUUUCUGACGUUGAGGCACGAAAGCGUGGGGAGCAAACAGGAUUAGAUACCCUAGUAGUCC